Archocentrus centrarchus (flier cichlid) is the source of this 1943-nucleotide RNA transcript. It is a transcript of the gene named G2/M phase-specific E3 ubiquitin-protein ligase-like, with no coding region annotated. Lineage: Eukaryota; Metazoa; Chordata; Actinopteri; Cichliformes; Cichlidae. The transcript has 7 exons. The record is from RefSeq and is a predicted model, not a curated record.
ACACUUUUACAAGUUCAGAAGAAAUUAACAUUUCAGAAAACAAAUUAACAUUUCAGAAAACAAAUUAACAUCACUCGAAACACUUUUACAAGUGGCAAAAUCAACCGGAAAGGGUAGGUACUAAUUCCAAGGCUGACCCGGAAGUGAUAACGGAAGCGGGCAUUUCAACCCAAGAUGGACAGCAGUUCAGUGGCGUUUUGCCCGUUUUGCGGGGCACAUAUGAGUAGAUUAACGCGGUUUUGUUUUUCUUGUGGACGGUCCUUAGAGUUUUUAAAUGGGACAGAACAGACGGAAGGUCCAGAGGCACAGGGGAUAUGUCAACAGCCGGAUAAUGCUAAACAAACAGAAAAACCUUGCUCGUCAUAUAAACAGUUCCUGGAAUACCGAAGCUCGAAGUCCAAAGAGCGUCAGUCUUUUAACUACGGGCCUAGAGGAAGACACCGGGCUAAAGAACAAAAACACGUCCAGGUUUUUGAACUCCCAAAGAUAAGUCUGAAAAUGAAAGAGAUGCACUGGGACAUCAAGCUACAAUUCAGCCAGGACAGCUGUUAGGGAGGAUGAAUACUUCCUGGCAGGACAGAUGAUUGCAGUUUCAGUUGUACAUGGAGGUCCGGGACCCCAUUUCCUGUCAGAAGAUCUUGUACAGUAUCUUGCUGGCCAGCCUUCAUUCAAACCAACAGUUAAUUUAAUAACUGAUGAAGAAAUAGGGAAAGCUUUGCGAGAGGUGGGGAUAACAUAAAUCCAGUGUGGUAGGACAGAGUUUAACAUAGUUCCUGCACUGUUCAAUGAUGAUGUUUAGUUCCCACACAUAUACAUUUGCAGAAUUAUGAAUUUAUGGUAUUGUAGGGUUACAGCAUGCUAUAUAUGUCACUAAAUAAAAAUGGUCAAGAUUAACACAUAGUUAUUUAAUGUGUUGGGUAUGUCUCUUUGUCUUUCAGAUUGAGAAUGCUGCUACAUUGGAUGCUCUACAAGAAUGUAUCAUGAGACACAGCACAAUGUUGCAGACAGCAGGCUGUCUUAGACAUGUGGCUGCUGUGGACGAAAAGACAGAAAUUGUGGCCAACUACCUCCAGUGGUAUAUUUUUGACCGCAACUCAUCUGUAAUUGACAGAUUCAAAGAUGGUCUUUCAGCUCUUCAGUUCCUGACUGCUCUACAGCAACACCCUACUUUGCUGACCCCUGUCCUGUGCCACUGUGAAAAGCGACUGACUGCCUUUGAGCUUGAGAGACUCUUCAAACCUCAACUCAGCCCUUCAGGGAGUAAUAGGAGACUGAAAGAAAGCCAAACCUUGGCCUGCUGGGCAGACUAUCUCCUUGAUUGUGAAGAAGGCGAGGCUGCUGUGUCUGUGGAAGACAUUUUGAUGUUUGCAACUGGGCUGACAUCACUUCCCCCAUCUGGCUUGGAACCACUGCCACAAAUAGAGUUCCUGGAUGACGUUCCACUCCCAAUGGCAAAUACAUGUUCAAACUUGUUGAAAUUACCAUUUCUGGAUUCAUAUAGUGUGUUUAAGUCACAAAUGGACUUUGGAAUUCAAAAUAGUCCAGGAUUUGGUUGUCUAUAAACUAUAUAGCUAGAUAACCAUUAGAGUAGUGUUUUUCAAACCUGGUCAUCCAGGCACAAUGCCCUGCACGUUUUAGAUCAGAGAUCCUAAUCCUGAAUAACUGAUUAACAGGCUUUUUUUUUUUUUUAAACUGCAAUCAUCUGAAUCAGGUAUGUUAAAGCAGGAAAACUUGGACUCAAAAUGUUUUUUGUUCUUUGUUGGUAUUAUGUGCAUUUAAAGGUGCAGUUACUUUUGUUAAAAUACUUUAAAAUUGCGGUAAGCAAGCAUGUCUUUUUUUUUUUUUCCCCUCAGACAGCAUUUGGACAAUUGUUUUUCAUUCAUUUAUUUCCAAAUUUUAAAUACUGAAACUGUGGGUGACAAGUUGUGUACAUGUUCCACCAU